Molecule: ribosomal RNA, 465 nt
Filed under: Vreelandella stevensii
Lineage: Bacteria; Pseudomonadati; Pseudomonadota; Gammaproteobacteria; Oceanospirillales; Halomonadaceae
Description: partial 16S ribosomal RNA
Rfam family: Bacterial small subunit ribosomal RNA
Source: RNAcentral
CCUACGGGUGGCAGCAGUGGGGAAUAUUGGACAAUGGGCGAAAGCCUGAUCCAGCCAUGCCGCGUGUGUGAAGAAGGCCUUCGGGUUGUAAAGCACUUUCAGUGGGGAAGAAAGCCUUGGGGCUAAUACCCUCGAGGAAGGACAUCACCCACAGAAGAAGCACCGGCUAACUCCGUGCCAGCAGCCGCGGUAAUACGGAGGGUGCGAGCGUUAAUCGGAAUUACUGGGCGUAAAGCGCGCGUAGGCGGUCUGAUAAGCCGGUUGUGAAAGCCCCGGACUCAACCUGGGAACGGCAUCCGGAACUGUCAGGCUAGAGUGCAGGAGAGGAAGGUAGAAUUCCCGGUGUAGCGGUGAAAUGCGUAGAGAUCGGGAGGAAUUCCAGUGGCGAAGGCGGCCUUCUGGACUGACACUGACGCUGAGGUGCGAAAGCGUGGGUAGCAAACAGGAUUAGAUACCCCAGUAGUC